GCCCGGAUGGUGAAAUUGGUAGACACAAGGGACUUAAAAUCCCUCGGCGCAAGCCGUGCCGGUUCGAGUCCGGCUCCGGGCACCA
Molecule: transfer RNA, 85 nt
Filed under: Halochromatium roseum
Lineage: Bacteria; Pseudomonadati; Pseudomonadota; Gammaproteobacteria; Chromatiales; Chromatiaceae
Also listed under: 3 other names
Description: tRNA-Leu
Rfam family: tRNA
About the family: Transfer RNA (tRNA) molecules are approximately 80 nucleotides in length. Their secondary structure includes four short double-helical elements and three loops (D, anti-codon, and T loops).
Source: RNAcentral